This 301-nucleotide long non-coding RNA is filed under the name Pan troglodytes (chimpanzee). RNAcentral's name for it is "long non-coding RNA NONPTRT010233". Lineage: Eukaryota; Metazoa; Chordata; Mammalia; Primates; Hominidae. The record is from RNAcentral.
AGGAGGAGAGUGCAUGAGUAUUUAGAUCUACAAUUCACACAAGUUACCUGUAAUUAAGAAUGUCAGAAGAACCGAGCCUCCAUUCUAAAGUUUCUGUGGUGAAGUCAUCUGUAUUUCCUAGGUCAGUAAACCCAACAACAUAAUCUUGUGUUUUCCCAUCUUUUAGCAGUGCUAGUGUGGGAAUGACUUUGAUACGCAGUCUCUCACAAAGGAAAGGUGCUUUUUCCACAUUCAGCUUCAAAAAUUUGGUCUCGAGGUGUUUCUUGGACAAUAUUGCCAGAUGUCUGUCUAGUAUUUUACA